Molecule: ribosomal RNA, 543 nt
Filed under: uncultured bacterium
Lineage: Bacteria
Description: bacterial SSU rRNA
Rfam family: Bacterial small subunit ribosomal RNA
Source: RNAcentral
CGUUGGAUAAGAUGGACCCGGCUUUGAUAGCCCAUUGGCGGGGUAAACGGCCCACCAAGCCCGGGAUCAUUAGCCGGACUGAGAGGAUGGAUGGCCCACAUGGGGAAUGAGACACGGCCCAGACUCUUACGGGAGGCAGCAGUAGGGAAUAUUGCACAAUGGGGAAACCCUGAUGCAGCGACGCCGCGUGAGUGAAGAAGUAUUUCGGUACGUAAAGCUCUAUCAGCGGGGACGAAGAUGACGGUACCCGCAGAAGAAGUCCCGGCUAACUACGUGCCAGCAGCCGCGGUAAUACGUAGGGGACAAGCGUUAUCCGGAUUUACUGGGUGUAAAGGGAGCGUAGGCGGCAAAGCAAGUCAGAAGUGAAAGCCCGCGGCUCAACUGCGGGACUGCUUUUGAAACUGUUUAGCUAGAGUACUGGAGGGGCAAGCGGAAUUCCUGGUGUAGCGGUGAAAUGCGUAGAUAUCAGGAAGAACACCGGAGGCGAAGGCGGCUUGCUGGACAGAUACUGACGCUGAGGCUCGAAGGCGUGGGGAGCAAACA